AAAAGUGUAAGUAGGUAUAUAAACUUAAAAUAAAUUGUCUUCAUUUUAGAUAGAAUACAUUAGCCGUUAUUAUUAUUUUUCUUUGUGUAUCUAUACGAAUUUAUUAGUAAUAUAUAAAAUGCGUUUCGAGAAAAUGUACCCAAACAAUAUUUGCUUAAACGUUUUUCUGUCAUAAAUAGUGAUGUGCACUUCCGAAAAGUUUA
Non-coding RNA from Cinara cedri, 203 nucleotides. The record is from the annotation of a GenBank genome assembly. Lineage: Eukaryota; Metazoa; Arthropoda; Insecta; Hemiptera; Aphididae.